GACGACGUCAAGUCAUCAUGGCCCUUACGACCAGGGCUACACACGUGCUACAAUGGUCGGUACAAAGGGUUGCUACCUCGCGAGAGGAUGCUAAUCUCAAAAAGCCGAUCGUAGUCCGGAUUGGAGUCUGCAACUCGACUCCAUGAAGUCGGAAUCGCUAGUAAUCGCGGAUCAGAAUGCCGCGGUGAAUACGUUCCCGGGCCUUGUACACACCGCCCGUCACACCAUGGGAGUUUGUUGCACCAGAAGUAGGUAGUCUAACCUUAGGGGGGACGCUUACCACGGUGUGGCAGAUGACUGGGGUGAAGUCGUAACAAGGUAGCCGUAGGGGAACCUGCGGCUGGAUCACCUCCUUA
This 356-nucleotide ribosomal RNA is filed under the name Acinetobacter lwoffii. RNAcentral describes it as "bacterial SSU rRNA". It matches the Rfam family "Bacterial small subunit ribosomal RNA", at positions 1178 to 1533 of the family's 1533-position model. The record is from RNAcentral. Lineage: Bacteria; Pseudomonadati; Pseudomonadota; Gammaproteobacteria; Moraxellales; Moraxellaceae.